CUCUUAGUUAACUGGAAUUUUUGACUUACCGGCACCCCCCACUACCCCAACAUGCCAGAUAGCAAAGCUUUUACUAUAAACAGUUUUACAAAUC
This is a long non-coding RNA of Gopherus evgoodei (Goodes thornscrub tortoise), 94 nucleotides long. RefSeq lists it as uncharacterized. The transcript has 3 exons. NCBI's taxonomy places the organism in Eukaryota, Metazoa, Chordata, Testudines, Testudinidae. The record is from RefSeq and is a predicted model, not a curated record.